This is a small nuclear RNA of Schistocerca americana (American grasshopper), 107 nucleotides long. The record is from RefSeq and is a predicted model, not a curated record. Lineage: Eukaryota; Metazoa; Arthropoda; Insecta; Orthoptera; Acrididae.
GCAUUCGUUUCGGCAGUACAUAUAUUAAAAUUGGAACGAUACAGAGAAGAUUAGCACGUCCCAUACGCAAGGAUGAGAAGCAAAAUUGUGAAGCUUUCACAUUUCUU